UACAGAGACUGCAAGCGUUAUUCGGAUUCACUGGGCGUAAAGGGUGCGCAGGCGGCCAAGUGUGUCAGGUGUGAAAUCCCGAGGCUUAACCUCGGAACUGCGCCUGAAACUACUUGGCUAGAGUACUGGAGAGGGUAACGGAAUUCACGGUGUAGCAGUGAAAUGCGUAGAUAUCGUGAGGAGCACCAGAGGCGAAGGCGGUUACCUGGACAGUUACUGACGCUCAGGCACGAAAGCGUGGGGAGCAAAAGGG
Molecule: ribosomal RNA, 253 nt
Filed under: uncultured bacterium
Lineage: Bacteria
Description: partial 16S ribosomal RNA
Rfam family: Bacterial small subunit ribosomal RNA
Source: RNAcentral